AAAAUUGGGUAAUGAAAUUCAUCUAAUCAAAAUUAUUUGCAGGACAACCGAUGAAUCAAAUUAGACCCUCAAGACAAUAGGUGGAGGCUUGAUUCCAGGUCAUGCAAGCUCACAGUGGCCAAGCAACUCCAAUUACAUUAAAAAGUAAGUUCACCCAUGCAAAGGAUGCAACAGAAAUACUGCUUGGUCUCUAAACCAGCAAAUAACUUUAACUUACAAGCAAUUCAGCCUACGACUCGACUUACAUCAAGGUGAUGGUUGAUAUGUACAUCCUGGGCCCGGGGGUAGUGGGGUGUUUGGUGUGGCGCGGCUGGUGCUGGGGUUCAUGGACGCCCAAGUACUUUGACGCAUUGCUCUAUCCUAUUACCAAGUGCCAUGAUCUAUCUCACACAAAUUGCUUAGGACAUAAACAAUGCUUGUGAGUGCACAUAAAUGAUCACUCAUUUAGUAUCAUCUGGGGUUGGUUCUUGGAGUUGCCUGAGGUUGGGCUUCUGAUCCUUUAAUUUUGCCAGAAUUGUGGGAUCCAUGGCCUUCAGAUUUUCCUUCGUCUAGAUCUUGGGGAUGUUUGAUUUCCAAAGAUUUUCCUCCAUCUUGGAGAUUAUCCGAUUUUCUAGAUUUUUCAAAAUUUUUAUGUGAUUGACCUUCUGUUCCCAGCCCUUUUUCUGGAUUUUGAACAGAAUGAACUUCUGAACCUUGGCUCUUCUCAGGGAUUUGGGGUGAUUGACGGACCUCUGAUCCUCUAACUUUACUAGUUGUAGUUGCUUGACCUGAAGGUCGACCUUUAUCCAUAUUUUGGAGUUCACUGGUAAGCUGGCUUCGUCGUUCCUUCAAAAAAUUGAGUCUGGUUGUCAACUUUGUCAGUGCAGAAGUUGUGGAAUUCAAUCCCUCAAUCCUUGAGCUAGACUUUUUGGAAUUGGUUGAAGAUCUGGAGUUGCUACUACGUGCUGGAUCUGGCUGCUGGCUUUGAGGUGGAGUCUUGUUUGAUAAAUUAGUUGAUUUGUCUGCACAAGUAUCCUUAUUUGCAGACCUUCCAACAUUUGAAGUUGCAUUAGCUUCAGUAUCUCUCUGUUUAUCUUUCCACUUUGCUUGAUGGUUUGAAGUAUGCAUUGGCUGAUUGCUUGAAUCACGCGUGGAGCCAUGGUUUUGCUCGCACUGUUGAUUCAGCUGCACACUGAGAUCAUCAACCUUCUGCUUCAUAUUGAAAUCUGCCUCUGCUUGACUUACUUCCUCAAGCUCUUUCUUCACUUUUUCCCCAACAAUAGCUGGAACAGAUUGGUGUGCCUGAGAUUCGUUAAGUCCUGCUUCCAGAAUCAUCCUCUUUUCUCUCUCCUUUUGCAGCUCUUCCUGCAGUCUUGCCACAUCUUGCUCAAGGGCUAGACGGCGCUCAUGCAAGGCCUUCUUUCGUUUUUCCAAGUUGGCUUGCAAAACUGCAUUAACUUUAACCUCUUCAGAAAUUCUAUGUUGCAAGUCAAUUUUAGCAGACUCCAGCUUCUGGAUUUCAACUUCGUCAUCAAAAGUGUAAUCAGUGGAUGCCAUAGAAACAUUCUUCCUUGCCUGAACUCCAGUCCAAAAGUAAAGGGGGAAAAAGAAUAUCAGAUCAGAAAUAGCUAUUACUUGUAAUAUAAACUCAGAGAUAUAUGCAGAUGGAUCACCAGUUUGCAUGUUCUCCAAAUUUGUUUCCCCAGGGAAAUCUCCUACUAAUUCAUGUGACUCAAUGAUUUGAGUAGCCAAAUUAUUGUAACUUUGGCCCUGAAUAUUCUCACUCUUUUCUGCAUCAUGAUGUGAGGGUAAUGAAAUUUGAACUGAAUUUGACAAUUCUUCAACUCUACAAUCAUUAUCUACUUGAGCGGACUUGGAAUCGGGGCUAUGAUCAUCACCCUUACUGUGAGAUAUAUCAUUGUCCUCUGAUUCACCACUGUCAGUUCCAGUUGAUGCAUUUCCAAGAUCAUCAUCUGAAUAUGCAUCAGACUCUUGUGAUGCAUCAUCCUCAUCAUCAUCUUCAUAGGAUUCAUCAUCAUCUGUUACCUCCUCAUCCUCACUUUCAUACUCAUCUGAGUCGGAGUAUAAUCCAGGGGACAUGAUUCCUUCACUGAAUAUCUUAUCAUACUCCUCCAAUAAUAUUAUAACAAUGGCUUGAGCAUGAUUAGCUGCAGCAGCUGCUUGCAGAAGUUGAAGAGAACCAUCACCUCCCACAUCAAAAUCAUUUUCAAUUUCACACUCACCAGCUAGAAGGGGACGCAGAAGUAAAGGUGCCAUACAAGCAGCAACAGCUGAAGUGCUCAUUCGAUUCUCAGCUUUGUGGGAAGCCACAGUUUGCAUCAUCAACAGAAUUCUUUGUAAUAAGCGACGGUUUGGCUCAGGGAAGGUUUCUAAUAUUGCUACUCGCAUGGCAUUAACUCGAUUGCCACGAUCUUUUCGAAAUGCUUCUAGCAGUGCUUUGCAGCAAGAUGCAGGGACUGGAGAGGAUGGCAACUCACGGAGGAAAAACUUGACACAAUCAGCAAUCACAUGUGCAUCUUCCUCUGGAGAGAACUCUGAUUUUCCUUGUUCAUAUUCCUGAAUUCGAUGCUCAACAUCAUCAACAGCUGCAGCUUGACGUAAAAUUCCUUCCACCUUGACUCCGUGCUCUUCUAUAUACCUAAGAGCCUUUUCUAGGAAAGACGGAGAUCCAUCAACAUCUUCUAAAGCAAGUAAAACUGGUCUGCCAAUGACCAUAGCUUUUUUGGGCACUUUAUCCUUCAACGUUACCGCACACUGGUCCAAAGAACAAUCAAUUUCAUCAUUCUGAUCGUUCUUGAAGAUACCAUUUUGCCCCAUCACAAGAGCAGCACUUGGUGCUCCUGCCAGAGCAUUCUCAAGUGCAGUCUUCCACUCAUAUAAAUCUUCUAAAGUUUCAGCCUUAAGAGUGAAAGCUCGCCCAUCACGACCAUCAGGAAAGAGAACAGUCAAAAGUUUUUUGUCUGAUUUCACAACCACACUGCCUGAAUUGUUGAGAUCAAUACCACCAAGAGUCAAGUUCACUUCACUCCCUUUUUGAGUAACAACACUUGGAUCACUUCGGAAGAAAACCAGUGAAGUUCGUGUAAGAAUAAACCACCGCUUCUUCCAGGAUGUCCAACCAAUUCCUUUAGAUGAUAUAAAAAGAGGCCCACUCUUGAAAACCGUAUUCCCAGCCCGGGAACCAACAUUUUCAGACUGUCCCUGCGGCGGAGUUCCCGCAGGAGGUUGAGCAGCACCGCCAUCUCCCUGAGACAAUUCUGUGUUUGUGUUCUUGUUCGUAGUCAUCACUUGAUCCGCGAAUCACUAAAAAUCGCAUCUCAGUGGACGAUCAGCAAGCGAAUACACUCUGCACCCGGUUUUGGAUAGGGAGAAAGAGGAGAAAAGAGAAGAGAAGCAAGCGUAAAGAUAGAAAGAGAACAGAAGCGAGACUUUUUUGAGAAAAUUUCUUUUCCUUUUUUUUUCCCCCUUAGAUAGCUGUGGUGGUAGUUUCUCCUUUCUCUCCAGAAUUGAUUUUCCAACAGAAACCCGGUGGUCAAGCAAAUAACCUCCGCAAAGAAAGCGGGGGUCUCUCCUAACACGAGGCAGUGGCACUUGUACACGUCAUACGCGUUCUUCUCUCAGCGAACGUGUUGGAGGGAGUAUAUGAUUCAUGGAGGGCAUUCCCUGUAACUUCCACUCAUGUCACAGUCUGUCUAUUUCUUGCAAACUCACCCCUUCGCGUUGUUUUCAUUGUGCCCUUGUCAUUGGCUUGGCCGCUCAAUUGUAUGUUAUGUUCCUG
This 3778-nucleotide unclassified non-coding RNA is filed under the name Hevea brasiliensis (rubber tree). Lineage: Eukaryota; Viridiplantae; Streptophyta; Magnoliopsida; Malpighiales; Euphorbiaceae. The record is from RNAcentral.